UACCACGAUGCUUCUUGCAAUGGACGACGGUAGAAGUCGGCUUUCCGCCUGGCUGCUCUAAGGUCGCUGCUUUUGGGACCUCUUGAGCGCCCAAAUCCAGGUGAGUAUAAAAGUUAGGUCGGAAUCGCAUCUUCU
Non-coding RNA from Caenorhabditis elegans, 135 nucleotides. The record is from Ensembl. NCBI's taxonomy places the organism in Eukaryota, Metazoa, Nematoda, Chromadorea, Rhabditida, Rhabditidae.